CCGGCCCCAGACACCGCCCUGGGUCUGAGACCCUGAGAGGCAGGUCCAGGGACCUGGGACUUUACCCCGACCCCUCCCCUACCGCACAGUGUGCUCCUUGUCACACUGUCUGCGUGAGUCGUGGCCCAGGAGCUGGAUCCCAACAGAAAAGUUUGUCAGCAGUGAGAAGCUGUCAAGUUUAUUGGGGGAUCACAAGUUCUCCAAAACUCUGAUUUUCUCUUGAGAGCUGACAUUUGAUCAAGGCAACAAGUCCUCUCAGCUGUCAUAUGUGAGCUGAUUGUCAUGAAAGGACAUUUUCGUGGAGGAAUUUAUCCAAUGAAGAUGUCACACAUGUUCUCAAGGAUGUUUCUUGGACUGUGGUUUAUAAAAAAAAAGAACGGAAGCUAUCUGAGCAAUUUAAUCAAUAUGACGAUGAAAGAGAGAGAGCACACAAGCAGGCGGAGCAGCAGGGAGAGGGAGAAGCAGGCUCCCCACUGAGCAGGAAGCCUGACCCAGGGCUCAGUCGCAGGACACUGACAUCUUGACCUGAGUCAAAGGCAGCUGCUUAACCAACUGAACCACCUGGUGCCCCAGAAAGAGGGUGGAAGAGCAGACACCCUGAAAUCUCCAAGAGGCAACCACACAGGCCUGGUGGCUGGAAUACAUGAGGCAAGGACCCCAAAUCCCGAGGACAACUCCGUCCAGCACAGAGUAUCUGUCUCGUCACCAUGUGGCUCAGGGCGAGGGCAGCCUAAAGGCUCCUCAGACGCUCGAGUUUCUGUUGUACUUUCCAUGUCCCCUUCCGAAGGAUACCAGUAGGCAAAGUGGGAAAAUGAUGGAGAAAACCAAACAAGGGGAGCACAUGGGAUCCCAGCCACAGGGAGACAGAAGGAGAGAGGCCAAGGGUCCCCAGGAGGAGCUGCAGGGGGUGCGGGUCUCAGCCCUGUCCCCAUGGGGCAGGACUGAGGACUGCGGGCCAUCUUAGGGGAUCCUGUGGGGGGAGGAUGGGUUCUGUCUGGAAGAGGCACAGGGGCUUCUGGCUGGUGCCCUGGUAGAGGUCUCUGGUUUUCCCCUGAUGGUCGUCACACAGGGGUGAGCUCCGUCACUGGUCGGGAAACUGUACCUACGUUCAGGCAUUUUUUCAUACUGACAUUAUGAACAGUUCAAACAUUCCAGAAAGAAGGGGAAAGCAGAGAGAGGGGAGGUGAUUAAGGGGUUUCCCCUCCUCCAGACCAAGACCCCCUUAUGCUGGAAGGCAGGUAAUAAAGGGACUGAGAGGAGGGGGAGCAAGGCCCGUGCACUGUGAAGGGCCAGCCCUGGUUUCUGAUUCUGGAGUUUCCAGAUUCCCACUCCCUGGGCUUCGGUUUCACAGCUGCCUGCCGUCCACCCCUGUCUCACAGCCUCUGCCACCUGGAAACCUUCUCUACUUGGGAAGACAGUGGAACCCCUGCUCCAGGAAGAGCAGCCCCAGGGCCUCAGACUCGGAGGGCCCAGCAUCCUGAGCCACGGAGAUGGGUUCCUGGAGCUCAGAGGCAGCAGUUGGGACGGAGGCUGGUCUCCGCAGUGGUACACGGAGAUCAGCCAGGAGUCAGAGCCCAGGCUUCUGCCUUGCAUUUCCCCCAGGACCCCAAUGUGUCCUCUCCCCUCUUCCCGAGGCUGCAAGACCCAGGCAUCUGAACACCAUGCCCAAGAAGUCCAAGGGGGGAGGCUCCUGUGCAGGGCCAGACCCCACCUUUUGGAACCUGGAGGGUGGCCCCCCUCCCCCACCUGGAGAGCCCAGGACCCUGGCGUGUUGCCUCUUCUACCCUGUGCUGCCCCUGAGACACAGGGACCUGCUGUCUGCAUCCCUCAGGCCUGGUUCCCGCCCUUGCAAACUGGGAAACGACAAACUCUGCUUCUGUUGCAUCUACAGAUCCCACAUUCUCAUUCUGUACGUGGUCGUUUGGGGAAGAGAAAGCUGACGUCCCUGUGAUUGCUUCUCCAAGUGAUGAGGACCCAUGGCUUUGACCUGUGUGACUGAUAUCCAAAUAUUUGGGGAUUUUCCAGAGAUCUGCUUGUGAUGGAUUUCUAAUUGUGGUCGCACAGCAUACUCUAUAACUUCACUGCCUGUACGUUUAUUGAGAUGUGUUUUAGGGCCAGUUCCUGGUUUGUUUGGGCUCACGGUAUGGUUAUUGUCCUCUAAUCCUUACUUGUUCUAUUAAUGAGAGAGGACUAUUGAUCUCUAAAUAUAUUUAAUUUGUCUGUUUCUUUACAGUUCUGUUUGAUUUGCUUCUCUCCAAUCUCUGUUCUCUGUGAUUUUUGGAUUGGCUAAUUUCUAUGGAUUUAGACUCAACCUCGUUCAUUCUUUAUUUUGCCUUCCCAGGCCUUCAGUGGAGUUUACCUAUUGAACUUUUAUUACAUUUUUCCCUUUCAGUUCCAGAAUUUCUAUGUGGUCUUCUUUGUGCAUUCCACUUUUUAAUUCAGAUUUCCUCUCUGUUCUCCAUUUAAUAACAAGAUUUUCUUACAUUCCUUCAACCCAUAUUUAUUCAGUUCUUUGAACAUAGUUCCCAAAGCCCCAUGGAAACUUCUGGUGCUGAUUCCCACAUCUGGGCGCACUGGGAAUACCUUUCUGUUCACUUUCUCAGGAUGUGUCUCUCAAAUGUGUUUCUUUGCAUGUCUGGCCAUAUGUCCUUUCAAAGUGGACAUGAGUUUUCUGUGUUAGCAAAUCUGGAAUCUAUUUUAUGUUUUUGAAGAUUCCUUUUCCGUAGAAGUGUGUCACUUGCAUGGGCCCCAUUAUGACCUGAGCCCCUGCAGAGCUGACAGGUGUUGUCCGAGGCCUGUCUCAGCUGCUUGAGUGAGCUGCCCUCCAUCCGGGUGACUUAGUGGUCAAUCAGGGAUGUGCAGUUUGCACUCAGAUCUCCGAGCUCACCUUCUUGGUGGUUGCCUUGUUCCUGGAAUUUCCCCUAAACUUCCAAAUGCCCUGCCAGCCACCAGGUCUGACCUUUGAUACGUUCAUCCGGUAUGAUCUUAUUUUCUUAAGUAAGCUGUAAGCCGAUUGUGAGGCUCGAACUUACAGCCCGGAGACCAAGAGUCUCAUGCUCUACGGACUGAGCCAGUCAGGUGCCCCUCGGCCGGGACAGUGGGGCUUUAACGCUAGACCUCCCUCUGGAUCUUCCUGCUUUUUCGGCCGUGUCUCCUGAGCAUCCCCAGCCAUGAAUAGUGUAGUGGUCAUCCGGGGACUUUGACCGAGCUUGUAUUCAGAUUUUGGAUCUCAACCGUCUCCUGCUCCCUCACUUUCAAUUUUCCCUGUUGAAUGUCCAGCUCCUUGGCACUGCGACUGCUGUCAUCUGCCCCUUUGAGCCACGGGGGCUGCAGUUACGCUGGGGGAGGGGAGGGACCCACAGGGACGAAGGUUAUGAGCUUGGUCUUCUCACCCAGUAUAGUGGUAGUUAUUCAAGGCCAAAGUUCUCUCAUAUUUCUGCCUGUCUUCGUUUACUUUUCUGUGACUUCAAAUAUUUAUUAAAUUACUUAGUUUUAAGUAGGCAUCAUCUCCAGUGUGGAGCCCAACCUGGGGUUUGAACUCAUGACCCUGAGAUCAAGACAUGAGCUGAGAUUGAGAGUUGGACACUUAACUGACUGAGCCAUCCAGACAUCCCUCAAAUAUUUAUUUUGAAUCUUUUCCUCCAGUUUUCGUGAUUGUCUUCCGGGGAAGAACUGACUCAACCCCUUCCUGCUGCCAUUACCGGAAGUCUCACCUGAGACAGGAUUUGGGGUUGAAGAGGUCACAGCCCGUGAUGUGAUCUUGGGAGACCAGUGAGGGUUCAGGCACCUGGGAUUCUGGAUUCAGGUUUCUCCAACUGAAAUACAAGGAGGCCUGGGGUCUGGGCUCACGAUGACAAGGAAGGAUGCCCUUGUUCCACCUCCCAUCAGACGGCUCCUUUAGUGGGGAAACAUGUUCUUUAAAAAAAUUUUUUUUAACUUUUUUUUAAAAGUAAUCUCUACAACCAACAUGAGGCUUGAACCCACAACCCCAACAACACCUGCAUGUUCCAAUGACUGAGCCUGUGAGGCACAGCAAAUAUUAAAAAAAUUUUUUUUUUAAUUUUAAAUACAAUCUACCCCCAAGGUGGGUCUUGAACUCAGAAUCCCAAGAACAAGAGCCACAUGCUCUACCCACUGAGGCAGCCAGGUCCCCCUAGAGAAGUCUUUCUAUGUGUGAGAAUUCUUACGUUAUCUGCACCCCGUCCCCAGAGAAGCAGCUCGUUGGAAGGGGGGCCUGGGAAGGGGCUGAGUUAAGUGCAACAAGCUCUGCCUUGUCCUCCAUCCUCCCUAGAACCAGGCACGGACUGUGAUUGCCCCCAGUCUGCCAGCCCAGCGCUGCUUGCUCAGCGAGACGCCUCUGACUCCGUGUGCUCCGGGCAUCAGAACUGAUGGCUUCGCCCCAAGUCUGAGCAGCGCGAGUCCUCGGAAGUGCGCGUGGGUCGCACGGAUCAGAUCCUUCCGAGUGACACUUGUUGUCGCGCGGAAGAUCACGUUGGAAACUCUCAUCUCGUCGGGGCUUCUCCCAUCAUCAGGGGAUGAAAGUGCAGAGUGUCCUCUGUGGGGAGCGGAGACGGCGCAUCUUCCUGAGGUCCAAGCUCGCGCCCGAGGCCUUAGCAAAGUGUACGGAUCGUGGGUGGGCAGAGGAACUGCUCGUGGGCGGCUGUCGCCAAAUCACUGGCCACGGAGGGACUGGGCCUUGGGUGUGAACGAGGCGUGGCUCAGUGCUGGAGCAGCUCCUGUGCUCCCGCUUGAGAAAGGCAGGAAAGCCCCGCAGCCGCGACGGGGAACUGCUCACAGCCCACAGCAGUGGACACUGCAGGUUAUGGGUACAUCGAUGCCCAGAGGUCACCCAGAGCCACAGGGACUGAAGCACAGAGUUUCCUGGGCUUUCGUGGAUGGAACUGCUUGACUGUCGGGCCAUUUGGCUUGAAUACUGGAUUUAAGGGCAUGUCACAUGGUGAGACCGCUUAUAAAGAAGGUUGAGAAUCCAGACUAACAUUUCAUCUUUAUGUUCCACACGCGCCCCGGAGAGUGGAUUUCAGGAAUAGCAGCAGACUUCCAGGAUCGGGAGCUGCAUUUUGCACACGAUGCGCACUCACAGAAUGGGGGAACAUUCUAGAACUUCAGCAGCUGCUGCGGGACGAUGUCCAAGCACCUGCAGUGCCACUCAGAACACAAAUUCUCGAGCUCUGCCCCAGAGGUCCUGCAGCGGGGUCACUGUGCUUGGAAAAUGCAUCCGUACUGUCAACAUGCACCUAGGUUCCCGUGCCUCUGCCGUGUCGGGCCGGCUGCUGGAGGGUGUGGGAAUCUGGGUGUCAGGAUGGCCACUGGAUGGGUUGGGAGAUCUGGGUGUUGGGCGGAUGCUGGAAGGGGUGGGGAAUCUGGGUGUCAGGACGGCUGCUGGAGGAGGUGAGAUAUCUGGGUGUUGGGGAGGCUGCUGGAGGGGUUGGGAAAUCUCGGGGGGGGGCUGGAAAUGGGAUGAUGAGGCGCAGCACGUGGAACACAGAGUCUUCUACCAGGAACCAGGGGGAGGAGCCGUUUGAUACGUGGAGACCACAGAUGUCCUGCUGUACUUGAAAAUCCCCUGAUGGGACGGCAGGGAGUCUGCCACACAGAUCUCUUCACGGAUGCUCAUUAUGGGCCUAGCAGGGCUCUGGGGAUGAGCACAUUUCUGAGCAGGUGUCAGGAGAGGCCCUGGGGAAGCAGGUUCAGAUCAGGGAUGCAGGCUCAGCCGACCCUUGCUCCACCCAACCUAAAGGAUGAGACGAAAUUCUCAGACAAGUAAAUGCUGGCCUCUUUGACUUUUAGAGAGCUCACCUGCUCCUUGCUGCUCAAGGUCACUCCUUCCAUCCUGAGAUAUUCAUCUGGGGCAGUUUGGUGUCUGGGAUGGUGAGUGCCCAGAACUGUCCCCUGGUGACCCUCACAGCCCAGAUGCCCUCCUUUUGGCACAGAAAUCCU
Long non-coding RNA from Ailuropoda melanoleuca (giant panda), 5958 nucleotides. RefSeq lists it as uncharacterized. The transcript is spliced from 5 exons. The record is from RefSeq and is a predicted model, not a curated record. Lineage: Eukaryota; Metazoa; Chordata; Mammalia; Carnivora; Ursidae.